This is a long non-coding RNA of Mauremys mutica (yellowpond turtle), 615 nucleotides long. RefSeq lists it as uncharacterized. NCBI's taxonomy places the organism in Eukaryota, Metazoa, Chordata, Testudines, Geoemydidae. The transcript is spliced from 3 exons. The record is from RefSeq and is a predicted model, not a curated record.
CCUAUGGACAGCUAGAAAAUUGCCUCCCCCACGACCCUCCCCAGGGGCUAGUGGCAGGCUGAGAGCCACAGCAGAGGGAGGGGGAAGCUCCAACAGUCUCUUUUGCCUGAGGAGCCCAAGAACUUUGCUAAGGCAUGCUGCUGGCGGGAAGGCACUGGAGCAAGGCGACGUGUAGUUGGAGCCGUACUGGGGAGGCAGCUGGCCCCGUGGAUGGCAGGCUGAGAGGAACCCACAUCGAUCAGCUCCAGCGCCCCUUGCCCUGGGGUAUUAUGCCGUCGCCCUAGGAUGCACGCUGGUUAAUAAACACCCCAGAUGCAGCCCUGCUGUCCUGGGAAAGACAAAGGGAUUGUGGAUGCUGACUCAUGGCAAACCAGGAGCUGAAUUCACUGCAUGUGCAGUGUGUCCGUACGCCUGUGUGCGUCUGGUGUCGCUGUGCUGAUCCACUAAUGACAAAUGGACACAGGACAUCAGACCCUCUCCCCAUUGUGGGGAGAACCACCCAGACUCUGACAGAGCCCCAGGGCCUGGUGUCUCUCUCUCGCGCUCUCUUUUUAACACUUCGGCAACACUUGUAGAGCCUAUUGUGCCUAGACUUGUUGAAUGGCGCGUGUGUAG